UACGUAGGGGGCUAGCGUUGUCCGGAUUUACUGGGCGUAAAGCGCACGUAGGCGGUUUGUUAAGUGAGAGGUGAAAUCCCAGAGCUCAACUCUGGAGCUGCCUUUCAUACUGGCAAGCUAGAGUCCGGAAGAGGUAAGUGGAACUCCUAGUGUAGAGGUGGAAUUCGUAGAUAUUAGGAAGAACACCAGUGGCGAAGGCGGCUUACUGGUCCGGAACUGACGCUGAGGUGCGAAAGCGUGGGGAGCAAACAGG
RNAcentral lists this ribosomal RNA (253 nucleotides) under uncultured bacterium. RNAcentral's name for it is "partial 16S ribosomal RNA". It matches the Rfam family "Bacterial small subunit ribosomal RNA", at positions 524 to 776 of the family's 1533-position model. The record is from RNAcentral.